RNAcentral lists this ribosomal RNA (468 nucleotides) under uncultured bacterium. RNAcentral describes it as "partial 16S ribosomal RNA". It matches the Rfam family "Bacterial small subunit ribosomal RNA", at positions 28 to 507 of the family's 1533-position model. The record is from RNAcentral.
GACGAACGCUGGCGGCGUGCUUAACACAUGCAAGUCGAACGGAAAGGCCCUGCUUUUGUGGGGUGCUCGAGUGGCGAACGGGUGAGUAACACGUGAGUAACCUGCCCUUGACUUUGGGAUAACUUCAGUAAACUGGGGCUAAUACCGGAUAUGAGCUCCUGCUGCAUGGUGGGGGUGGGAAAGUUUCGGCGGUUGGGGAUGGACUCGCGGCUUAUCAGCUUGUUGGUGGGGUAGUGGCUUACCAAGGCUUUGACGGGUAGCCGGCCUGAGAGGGUGACCGGCCACAUUGGGACUGAGAUAGGAGCCAGACUGCUACGGGAGGCAGGAGUGGGGAAUAGUGCACAAUGGGCGGAAGCCUGAUGCAGCAACGCCGCGUGCGGAAUGACGGCCUUCGGGUUGUAACCCGCUUUCGCCUGUGACGAAGAGUAAGUGACGGUAAUGGGUAAAGAAGCACCGGCUAACUACGUG